This 253-nucleotide ribosomal RNA is filed under the name uncultured bacterium. RNAcentral describes it as "partial 16S ribosomal RNA". It matches the Rfam family "Bacterial small subunit ribosomal RNA", at positions 524 to 776 of the family's 1533-position model. The record is from RNAcentral.
UACGUAGGUGGCAAGCGUUGUCCGGAAUUAUUGGGCGUAAAGGGCUCGCAGGCGGUCUUCUAAGUCUGAUGUGAAAUCUUGCGGCUUAACCGCAAGCGGUCAUUGGAAACUGGAGGACUUGAGUACAGAAGAGGAGAGUGGAAUUCCACGUGUAGCGGUGAAAUGCGUAGAGAUGUGGAGGAACACCAGUGGCGAAGGCGACUCUCUGGUCUGUAACUGACGCUGAGGAGCGAAAGCGUGGGGAGCAAACAGG